RNAcentral lists this ribosomal RNA (775 nucleotides) under uncultured Neocallimastigales. Its description in RNAcentral is "partial large subunit ribosomal RNA". It matches the Rfam family "Eukaryotic large subunit ribosomal RNA", at positions 23 to 646 of the family's 3401-position model. Lineage: Eukaryota; Fungi; Neocallimastigomycota; Neocallimastigomycetes; Neocallimastigales. The record is from RNAcentral.
AGAGAGAGACAUGCGCGCAUAUCAAUAAGCGGAGGAAAAGAAACUAACAAGGAUUCCCCUAGUAACGGCGAGUGAAGCGGGAAGAGCUCAAAUUUGAAAUCUUAAAGGGUUUCCCUUUACGAAUUGUAGUUUAAAGAAGUGUUUUCUGUUGAGGUUUUGGUAAAAGUUCUUUGGAAUAGGACAUCAUAGAGGGUGAGAAUCCCGUAUUUGACCUUUACUUUCAACUUUGUGAUACACUUUCAAAGAGUCGGAUUGUUUGGGAAUGCAGUCCCAAAAUGGGUGGUAAAUUUCAUCUAAAGCUAAAUAUUGGCGAGAGACCGAUAGCGAACAAGUACCGUGAGGGAAAGAUGAAAAGAACUUUGAAAAGAGAGUUAAACAGUACGUGAAAUUGUCAAAAGGGAAGCGUUUGACACCAGUGUUGUUUUUCUGAAAAUCAAUUAAAGAACUGUUUAUGCUAAGUUGUUUAGACUUUAUCAGCUAACUGUUUAGUUUUGAGCUUUUCUUUAAUGCACUUUUCAGUUAACAAGUCAACAUCAAUUUCUUUUGCUGUAAAAAAGCUUGAGGAAGGUGGCUUGAGAUUCGUCUUAAGUGUUUAUAGCCUCUUGCCUAUGCAGUCGGAGAGAUUGAGGUCUGCAGCGUAGAUCCUUCGGGGCUAAAUGCAUUUGUGCUAAGUUAUAACAUUUUAUAGACAACUUGUUGACUAUGAUUUGUCUUGUAGCUUACUCGCUUAUGUUAUUUUACCUACGCUUAGGAUGUUGACGCAUGAGAUAUACGC